UACGUAGGUGGCAAGCGUUGUCCGGAUUUACUGGGCGUAAAGAGCGCGCAGGCGGUCGUUCAAGUCGCGUGUGAAAGCCCGGGGCUCAACCCCGGGAGGCGGGUGGAUACUGUCAAGCUCGAGUCCGGAAGAGGAGUGUGGAAUUCCUGGUGUAGCGGUGAAAUGCGCAGAUAUCAGGAGGAACACCAAUGGCGAAGGCAGCACUCUGGGACGUGACUGACGCUGAGACGCGAAAGCGUGGGGAGCAAACAGG
This 253-nucleotide ribosomal RNA is filed under the name uncultured bacterium. RNAcentral's name for it is "partial 16S ribosomal RNA". It matches the Rfam family "Bacterial small subunit ribosomal RNA", at positions 524 to 776 of the family's 1533-position model. The record is from RNAcentral.